This 253-nucleotide ribosomal RNA is filed under the name uncultured bacterium. RNAcentral's name for it is "partial 16S ribosomal RNA". It matches the Rfam family "Bacterial small subunit ribosomal RNA", at positions 524 to 776 of the family's 1533-position model. The record is from RNAcentral.
UACGUAGGGUGCGAGCGUUAAUCGGAAUUACUGGGCGUAAAGCGUGCGCAGGCGGUUUUGUAAGCCAGGUGUGAAAUCCCCGGGCUCAACCUGGGAAUGGCAUUUGGGACUGCAAGGCUGGAGUGCGGCAGAGGAGACUGGAAUUCCACGUGUAGCAGUGAAAUGCGUAGAGAUGUGGAGGAAUACCGAUGGCGAAGGCAGCCCCCUGGGAUAACACUGACGCUCAUGCACGAAAGCGUGGGGAGCAAACAGG